This 253-nucleotide ribosomal RNA is filed under the name uncultured bacterium. Its description in RNAcentral is "partial 16S ribosomal RNA". It matches the Rfam family "Bacterial small subunit ribosomal RNA", at positions 524 to 776 of the family's 1533-position model. The record is from RNAcentral.
UACGUAGGGUGCAAGCGUUGCCCGGAUUUAUUGGGCGUAAAGGGCGCGUAGGCGGUCGGGUAAGUCUGAUGUGAAAUCUCACAGCUUAACUGUGAAACUGCAUUGGAUACUAUCCGGCUCGAGGAAUGGAGGGGAGACUGGAAUACUUGGUGUAGCAGUGAAAUGCGUAGAUAUCGGAAGGAACGCCGGUGGCGAAAGCGACGUGCUGGACCUCUUCUGACGCUGAGGCGCGAAAGCCAGGGGAGCGAACGGG